AGAGAUGUGUGAUGACGCAUAUCAAUAAGCGGAGGAAAAGAAACUAACAAGGAUUCCCUUAGUAACGGCGAGUGAAGCGGGAAGAGCUCAAAUUUGAAAUCUUCAAGGUUCUACCUUGACGAAUUGUAGUUUAUAGAAGUGUUUUCUGUUAGUAGAGUGGCAAAAGUUCUUUGGAAUAGGACAUCAUAGAGGGUGAGAAUCCCGUAUUUGGUCAUUCCUUCUAGCUUUGUGAUACACUUUCAACGAGUCGGAUUGUUUGGGAAUGCAGUCCAAAAUGGGUGGUAAAUUUCAUCUAAAGCUAAAUAUUGGCGAGAGACCGAUAGCGAACAAGUACCGUGAGGGAAAGAUGGAAAGAACUUUGAAAAGAGAGUUAAACAGUACGUGAAAUUGUCAAAAGGGAAGCGUUUGACACCAGUGUUGUUUUUCCGAAAAUCAAUUACGAAUGUUUUAGUUUUUAAGAAGUUAUGACUUCAUCGGCUUGCUUCUCUCUUUAUGAAACUUUCUUAAUGCACUUUUCGGUUAACAAGUCAACAUCAAUUUCUUUUGUUGUAAAAGGGUAUGAGGAAGGUGGCUUUCUUUUCGGAGAAAGUGUUUAUAGCCUUGUACCUCUGCAAUCGGAGAGAUUGAGGUCUGCAGCGUAGAUCCUUCGGGGUUAGAUACAUUUGUGCUAAGUUAUAGCUUUUCAUAGACAACUUGUUGACUAUGUUUAGUCUUGUAGCUUACUCGCUUAUGCUAUUUUACCUACGCUUAGGAUGUUGAAGAUGUAGCACAUCAU
This 775-nucleotide ribosomal RNA is filed under the name uncultured Neocallimastigales. Its description in RNAcentral is "partial large subunit ribosomal RNA". It matches the Rfam family "Eukaryotic large subunit ribosomal RNA", at positions 23 to 643 of the family's 3401-position model. The record is from RNAcentral. Lineage: Eukaryota; Fungi; Neocallimastigomycota; Neocallimastigomycetes; Neocallimastigales.